AGUGGCUAGUAUUGGGGCGUAUGCUUUGUUUAGUUGGUCAGGUCUGAAAAGAAGCAGCCAGAGCUUUCGCAAACGGGUUUGGUACUAGCUAUAGUA
This 96-nucleotide signal recognition particle RNA is filed under the name Rickettsiales bacterium. RNAcentral's name for it is "signal recognition particle sRNA small type". It matches the Rfam family "Bacterial small signal recognition particle RNA". From Rfam's summary of the family: The signal recognition particle (SRP) is a universally conserved ribonucleoprotein involved in the co-translational targeting of proteins to membranes. Archaeal SRP consists of a 7S RNA and homologues of the eukaryotic SRP19 and SRP54 proteins. Lineage: Bacteria; Pseudomonadati; Pseudomonadota; Alphaproteobacteria; Rickettsiales. The record is from RNAcentral.